ACUCACCUUCAUGUGCAAAGGGAAGCAGAGAGAAAGUAGCCUGGAGACAAAUACACACACCCACACGAGGGACAAUAACUGUCUAGGUUCCUGCUGCUUUUCCAAUUGCUGGUUCCAGUUCCCAAUGAGGCCUGACUGGAGCUCUGGACAUGGUGGUGUAUUGAGGACCUACACAGAAACUGGGUUCUUGUGGACUCUGUUGGAGCUCUCAUCUCAACCUGACAACCUGGAGAUGGGCAAAGUACAGGGUGGGACGCCUACCACGACAAGGCUCUUGCCAAGCAGUGCCACGUCUGCACCCAGGAUCCGACCCGGCGAACCCUGGGCCACCGAAGCGGAACGUGCGCACUUAACCGCUGCGCCACCAGGCUGGCCCCAGAAUUUCUAAUUUUUAAAAACAAUUUAUUUCUCUCUAUGUAUUCUCCAUUUAGUGAGACCCUGUCUUCAUACUUUCCUUAAGUUCUUUAGGCAUGGUUUACUUUAGUCCUUUGAGCAUAUUUAAAAUAUCCCAUGUAAUAUCUUUGUCUAGGAAGCCAAUAUAUGUGCUUCCCCAGGGAAGGUUUCUAUUGACUGAUAUUUAUCCUGUGUAUGGACCAUACUUUCUUGUUUCUUUAUAUGCCUCAUAAAUUUUUGUUCAAAACUAGACAUUUUAAGUAAUAGAAUAUGCCAAUUCUGGAAAUAAGAUUCUUCCCUCUUUCCAGUGAUUGUUGUUGAUCUCAGAUGUGGUUGCUGUUUUUUUGUUUAAUAACAAAUGGGGAAAAUGGCAAUUAAAGGAUUAAAGUAUAAAUAAAUUGUGAUCUAUGAAUACAAGGACAUAUUACUAGAUGUUAAAGGUCACAGAUAGUAGACAACUGUGGCUUGAAGUCUGAGGUCAGGAGAUGUUAACUGCAAAGAGGCUCAAGGAAAUUCUGAGGUGACGGAAUUGUGGUAUAUAUUUUUUAUGGUACAGAGUUAUACAGGCAUAUAUAUUUGUGAAAACUGUUAAAAUUUAUACCUAAAUGAGUAAAAUUUGACGUAAAUAUUUGAUUUAAUUAU
RNAcentral lists this long non-coding RNA (1035 nucleotides) under Equus caballus (horse). RNAcentral describes it as "lncRNA (ENSECAG00000051704.1)". The record is from RNAcentral. Lineage: Eukaryota; Metazoa; Chordata; Mammalia; Perissodactyla; Equidae.